Molecule: ribosomal RNA, 253 nt
Filed under: uncultured bacterium
Lineage: Bacteria
Description: partial 16S ribosomal RNA
Rfam family: Bacterial small subunit ribosomal RNA
Source: RNAcentral
GACGGGGGAUGCAAGCGUUAUCCGGGGUCACUGGGCGUAAAGCGUCUGUCGGUGGUGAUGCAAGUCACUGGUGCAAAACUCUGGCUCAACCGGAGGAAAGCCAGUGAAACUGCAUGACUAGAGUGUGGGAGAGGUAGAAGGAAUUCCCUGAGUAGCGGUGAAAUGCGUAGAUACAGGGAAGAACACCGGAGGCGAAAGCGUUCUACUGGAACACAACUGACACUGAGAGACGAAAGCUAGGGGAGCGAAAGGG